ACCUCUCUACCCUCAGUAUAUAUCAGCUGAGGUUUUCAAGUUCAACGUCAUGAACUAGUCCACGCUUUUCCUGCCUUCUCUUGACAGUUCUGCGCUGUUCUUUGCAAUUCGAGUUCUAUCUUCACUGUUCUUUUUUAGUCUUUUAUUGUGGUAAAGUACACAUAACUUGAAGUUUAUUGUUCUGACCGUUUUUAAAGUAUACAACUCAGGUAUUAAGUACAUUCACAAUAUUGUGUCAUCAUAACCACUGUUUCCAAAAGUUUUUUACUCUAAACACAAAGUCCAGUAACUCCCCUCUUCCCCUCCCCCAGUCCGUUCUGCCUCUGAAUUUGUUUGUUCUAGAUGCCUCACAGAAUUGAAAUCAUACAAUAGUUGCCUUUUUCAGCUUAUUUCACGUCAGUUUUCAAGGUUCAUCCACGCUGUAGUGUAUCUCAGACUUCAUUCCUUUGUAUGGCUGGAUACAUACAUAUGGCCGAGCGGCUGUAUAACAAUUUGUUUAUCCAUUGAUGGACACUAGGUUGCUGCCAUUUUUUGCCUACUGUGAAUAACGCUGCUGUGAACAUGUGUUUACAUGUGUCUGUAUGAGUCUCUGAUUUUGAUUCUUUGGGAUAUACAUACCUUGGCGUGGAAUUGCUAGGUCAUGUGGUAAAUCUGUGUGUUUUUUGACUUGUUUUUGUUUUAUUUUUAAAGACCCCUUCCCCUCCAUUUAAAAAGUUUCAUUAAAUUUGUUACAAUAUUGUUCUCUGUUUGGGGUUUUUGGCCAUGAGGCAUGUGGAACCUUAGUUCCCCAGCAGGGAUUGAAGCCGCACACCCUGCGUUUGGAAGUGCUCCUGGCAGACUUAACUGAGUGUUGCUUUUCUUCCUCCUUCCUCCCGCAGGGUCCUAUAUCUGGUCAAGCUGACAAGUGCAGGCAGUGCUGCCUCUGAUUCUCCUUGCCACUCACUUUCACAGCUCUAUUGCAAACCCAGCCUCUUUUUGGAAUUUCUUUUUUCUAACUGGCUCCCUGGUUCUAGAUUUUAUUUCCCUCUGGCCCAAAUCAUUUUAUACAUUGCUCCUAGGAUUUUCUUCCUAAGGCUAGUUUGUAAAGUUGAUCUCCAGUGAAUCUUCCAGGAGGAAGCAGAAGUGAGGAGAAGACAGUUAAUAGAUACGA
RNAcentral lists this long non-coding RNA (1150 nucleotides) under Capra hircus (goat). Its description in RNAcentral is "lncRNA (ENSCHIG00010007646.1)". Lineage: Eukaryota; Metazoa; Chordata; Mammalia; Artiodactyla; Bovidae. The record is from RNAcentral.